UACGAAGGGGGCUGGCGUUGCUCGGAAUCACUGGGCGUAAAGGGUGCGUAGGCGGGUCUUUUAAGUCAGGGGUGAAAUCCUGGAGCUCAACUCCAGAACUGCCUUUGAUACUGAAGAUCUUGAGUUCGGGAGAGGUGAGUGGAACUGCGAGUGUAGAGGUGAAAUUCGUAGAUAUUCGCAAGAACACCAGUGGCGAAGGCGGCUCACUGGCCCGAUACUGACGCUGAUGCACGAAAGCGUGGGGAGCAAACAGG
This 254-nucleotide ribosomal RNA is filed under the name uncultured bacterium. Its description in RNAcentral is "partial 16S ribosomal RNA". It matches the Rfam family "Bacterial small subunit ribosomal RNA", at positions 524 to 776 of the family's 1533-position model. The record is from RNAcentral.